GGAUCCAGACUUUGAUUCUGGCUCAGGAUGAACGCUAGCUACAGGCUUAACACAUGCAAGUCGAGGGGAAACGACAUCGAAAGCUUGCUUUUGAUGGGCGUCGACCGGCGCACGGGUGAGUAACGCGUAUCCAACCUGCCCACCACUUGGGGAUAACCUUGCGAAAGUAAGACUAAUACCCAAUGAUAUCUCUAGAAGACAUCUGAAAGAGAUUAAAGAUUUAUCGGUGAUGGAUGGGGAUGCGUCUGAUUAGCUUGUUGGCGGGGUAACGGCCCACCAAGGCAACGAUCAGUAGGGGUUCUGAGAGGAAGGUCCCCCACAUUGGAACUGAGACACGGUCCAAACUCCUACGGGAGGCAGCAGUGAGGAAUAUUGGUCAAUGGACGAGAGUCUGAACCAGCCAAGUAGCGUGCAGGAUGACGGCCCUAUGGGUUGUAAACUGCUUUUAUAAGGGAAUAAAGUGAGUCUCGUGAGACUUUUUGCAUGUACCUUAUGAAUAAGGACCGGCUAAUUCCGUGCCAGCAGCCGCGGUAAUACGGAAGGUCCGGGCGUUAUCCGGAUUUAUUGGGUUUAAAGGGAGCGUAGGCCGGAGAUUAAGCGUGUUGUGAAAUGUAGAUGCUCAACAUCUGAACUGCAGCGCGAACUGGUUUCCUUGAGUACGCACAAAGUGGGCGGAAUUCGUGGUGUAGCGGUGAAAUGCUUAGAUAUCACGAAGAACUCCGAUUGCGAAGGCAGCUCACUGGAGCGCAACUGACGCUGAAGCUCGAAAGUGCGGGUAUCGAACAGGAUUAGAUACCCUGGUAGUCCGCACGGUAAACGAUGGAUGCCCGCUGUUGGUCUGAAUAGGUCAGCGGCCAAGCGAAAGCAUUAAGCAUCCCACCUGGGGAGUACGCCGGC
This 897-nucleotide ribosomal RNA is filed under the name uncultured Bacteroidota bacterium. Its description in RNAcentral is "bacterial SSU rRNA". It matches the Rfam family "Bacterial small subunit ribosomal RNA", at positions 1 to 889 of the family's 1533-position model. The record is from RNAcentral. Lineage: Bacteria; Pseudomonadati; Bacteroidota.